RNAcentral lists this ribosomal RNA (1262 nucleotides) under metagenome. RNAcentral's name for it is "bacterial LSU rRNA". It matches the Rfam family "Bacterial large subunit ribosomal RNA", at positions 1685 to 2925 of the family's 2925-position model. The record is from RNAcentral.
CUCGAUCGAGAGAACUGUGGUUAAGGAACUCGGCAAAAUGCCCCCGUAACUUCGGGAGAAGGGGGACCAGUCCUGGUGACGACAUUUACUGUCUGAGCUGGGGUUGGUCGCAGAGACCAGAGAGAAGCGACUGUUUACUAAAAACACAGGUCCGUGCGAAGUCGUAAGACGAUGUAUACGGACUGACGCCUGCCCGGUGCUGGAAGGUUAAGAGGACCGGUCAGCCACUUCGGUGGCGAAGCUGAGAAUUUAAGCCCCAGUAAACGGCGGUGGUAACUAUAACCAUCCUAAGGUAGCGAAAUUCCUUGUCGGGUAAGUUCCGACCUGCACGAAUGGCGUAACGACUUCUCUGCUGUCUCAACCACAGACUCGGCGAAAUUGCAGUACGAGUAAAGAUGCUCGUUACGCGCGGCAGGACGAAAAGACCCCGGGACCUUCACUAUAGCUUGGUAUUGGUGUUCGGUUCGGUUUGUGUAGGAUAGGUGGGAGACUGUGAAACUCGCACGCCAGUGUGGGUGGAGUCAUUGUUGAAAUACCACUCUGACCGUAUUGGACAUCUAACCUCGGACCAUGAUCUGGUUCAGGGACAGUGCCUGGUGGGUAGUUUAACUGGGGCGGUUGCCUCCUAAAAAGUAACGGAGGCGCCCAAAGGUUCCCUCAGCCUGGUUGGCAAUCAGGUGUUGAGUGUAAGUGCACAAGGGAGCUUGACUGUGAGACGUACAUGUCGAGCAGGGACGAAAGUCGGGACUAGUGAUCCGGCACCGGCAAGUGGAAGCGGUGUCGCUCAACGGAUAAAAGGUACCCCGGGGAUAACAGGCUGAUCUUCCCCAAGAGUCCAUAUCGACGGGAUGGUUUGGCACCUCGAUGUCGGCUCGUCGCAUCCUGGGGCUGGGGUAGGUCCCAAGGGUUGGGCUGUUCGCCCAUUAAAGCGGCACGCGAGCUGGGUUUAGAACGUCGUGAGACAGUUCGGUCUCUAUCCGCCGCGCGCGUAAGAAACUUGAGGAAACCUGUCCCUAGUACGAGAGGACCGGGACGGACGAACCUCUGGUGUGCCAGUUGUUCCACCAGGAGCACCGCUGGUUAGCUACGUUCGGAAGGGAUAACCGCUGAAAGCAUCUAAGCGGGAAGCCUGUUCCAAGAUGAGGUUUCUCACCACCUAGCGUGGUUAAGGCCCCCCACAGACCAUGGGGUUGAUAGGCCAGAACUGUAAGCACAGCAAUGUGUUCAGGUGACUGGUACUAAUCGGCCGAGGACUUACAACA